Long non-coding RNA from Lampris incognitus (smalleye Pacific opah), 329 nucleotides. RefSeq lists it as uncharacterized. The record is from RefSeq and is a predicted model, not a curated record. Lineage: Eukaryota; Metazoa; Chordata; Actinopteri; Lampriformes; Lampridae. The transcript has 3 exons.
UUUCUCUAUAGAUCUUUAUUUGAUGCUGUCUGCAUGAGUGACGAGAGAGCCAUAUGGCCGAAGCACCAGAAUCCACAGCGUGACUGACAGGUGAAGCACCAGAAUCUACAGCGUGACUGACAGUCUUGCAGUGCCCCAGUCUGUACCACACCCUCGACCACAGAGAACGCACACAUCAUCAUCGGCAGAUGGCUCGGGCGACCCACAAGGAAAAAGGUUGAGUCGCAGCCAACAGAAGUUUCUAGCCCUGCAUUACAUGACCCGAUCCCGCCGCCUCCCAGGUCACCUGACCAGCACCUCAGUAACCAAGGUGGCGACCCUAGAAAAGC